RNAcentral lists this ribosomal RNA (798 nucleotides) under uncultured bacterium. Its description in RNAcentral is "bacterial SSU rRNA". It matches the Rfam family "Bacterial small subunit ribosomal RNA", at positions 1 to 804 of the family's 1533-position model. The record is from RNAcentral.
GCGGCCGCAGAAGUUUGAUCAUGGCUCAGGACGAACGCUGGCGGCGUGCCUAACACAUGCAAGUCGAGCGGAGAAUGCAAGAUGUUUACAUUGAGCAUUCUUAGCGGCGGACGGGUGAGUAACACGUGGGUAACCUGCCUCAGAGUGGGGGAUAGCCUUUCGAAAGGAAGAUUAAUACCGCAUAAGCUUGUAGCAUCGCAUGGUGCAGCAAGAAAAGGAGCAAUCCGCUCUGAGAUGGACCCGCGGCGCAUUAGCCAGUUGGUGAGGUAACGGCUCUCCAAGGCCACGAUGCGUAGCCGACCUGAGAGGGUGAUCGGCCACAUUGGAACUGAGACACGGUCCAGACUCCUACGGGAGGCAGCAGUGGGGAAUAUUGCACAAUGGGCGAAAGCCUGAUGCAGCAACGCCGCGUGAGUGAUGAAGGCUUUCGAGUCGUAAAGCUCUUUGAUCAGGGAUGAUAAUGACAGUACCUGAAAAACAAGCCACGGCUAACUACGUGCCAGCAGCCGCGGUAAUACGUAGGUGGCGAGCGUUGUCCGGAAUUACUGGGCGUAAAGGAUGCGUAGGUGGAUAUUUAAGUGGGAUGUGAAAUCCCCGGGCUCAACCCGGGAACUGCAUUCCAAACUGGAUAUCUAGAGUGCAGGAGAGGAAAGCGGAAUUCCUAGUGUAGCGGUGAAAUGCGUAGAUAUUAGGAGGAACACCAGUGGGCGAAGGCGGCUUUCUGGGACUGUAACUGACACUGAGGCAUGAAAGCGUGGGUAGCAAACAGGAUUAGAUACCCUGAUAGUCCACGCCGUA